This 497-nucleotide ribosomal RNA is filed under the name uncultured bacterium. Its description in RNAcentral is "partial 16S ribosomal RNA". It matches the Rfam family "Bacterial small subunit ribosomal RNA", at positions 28 to 507 of the family's 1533-position model. The record is from RNAcentral.
GAUGAACGCUGGCGGCGUGCCUAAUACAUGCAAGUCGAGCGAACAGACGAGGAGCUUGCUCCUCUGACGUUAGCGGCGGACGGGUGAGUAACACGUGGAUAACCUACCUAUAAGACUGGGAUAACUUCGGGAAACCGGAGCUAAUACCGGAUAAUAUAUUGAACCGCAUGGUUCAAUAGUUAAAGACGGUUUUGCUGUCACUUAUAGAUGGAUCCGCGCCGCAUUAGCUAGUUGGUAAGGUAACGGCUUACCAAGGCAACGAUGCGUAGCCGACCUGAGAGGGUGAUCGGCCACACGGGAACUGAGACACGGUCCAGACUCCUACGGGAGGCAGCAGUAGGGAAUCUUCCGCAAUGGGCGAAAGCCUGACGGAGCAACGCAGCGUGAGUGAUGAAGGUCUUCGGAUCGUAAAACUCUGUUAUUAGGGAAGAACAAAUGUGUAAGUAACUAUGCACGUCUUGACGGUACCUAAUCAGAAAGCCACGGCUAACUACGUG